AUAGGGAAUCUUACCUGCCCAAUGAUAAAGAUUAAAUGGCCGCGGUACUUUGACCGUGCGAAGGUAGCAUAAUAAUUUGCCUUAUAAUUGAAGGCUGGAAUGAAUGGUUUGACAAGAGUUUAGCUGUCUCUAGUAAAUUUUUUAGAAUUUUAUGUUUAUGUGAAGAAUCAUAAAUUUUAUUAAAAGACAAGAAGACCCUGUUGAGCUUAAAUAUAAUUAGGUAUUAGUAAUUUAGAACUUGAAAUAUGUUUUUGUUGGGGCGACUGAGGAACAUGUAGAAGCUUCCUUAAUUGUAAUGUAYUGAUAGAWGUCGGUCCGUUAAGUGACGAGUAGUAGAAAGAGUUACCACAGGGAUAACAGCAUUAUUUUGUUUGAGAGUUMUUAUUGAAAUCAAAGUUUGUGACCUCGAUGUUGGAUCAAAAUGUCCUAAGGGGGUAGAAU
RNAcentral lists this ribosomal RNA (441 nucleotides) under Dentimargo sp. MNHN-IM-2013-68687. Its description in RNAcentral is "partial 16S ribosomal RNA". The record is from RNAcentral. Lineage: Eukaryota; Metazoa; Mollusca; Gastropoda; Neogastropoda; Marginellidae.